UUCAUUUUAAAUCAAGGUAAACAAUUGCUACUCAUUAAUAUCAUACUGCUUUUGGCAAGACAAAUAAGAACCCUAUAUAGUUCACACUUCAUCUAAAAUUCAGUGAUGCUAUUUAGCUGACCGCAGGUGUGCCUGUGACCACGGGUGAGUUACAAUAAUGUGGGUGAUGUCUCUGCAUAUGUAUGCAUUUAACUUUAUGUAGCUUUCAGCGGAAUAUCAAUGCGAGAACAAAUGUACAUUCGAACCUUACGCAAACGCUUAAUGCGAAAGUGAUCCAAGGAAAUUUAUGGAGUCCAAAUUGGUUAUAAUUUAGCAGAACUGAAUCCGGACUUAAGCUUCCCACACAGAAACUAAGAGAAGAAGGCUCCCAAAAUGGCAAGAACUU
This is a non-coding RNA of Drosophila melanogaster (fruit fly), 385 nucleotides long. NCBI's taxonomy places the organism in Eukaryota, Metazoa, Arthropoda, Insecta, Diptera, Drosophilidae. The record is from Ensembl.